CCGCGUGAGUGAAGAAGGUUUUCGGAUCGUAAAACUCUGUUGUUAGAGAAGAAUGUUGAUUAGAGUGGAAAAUUAAUCAAGUGACGGUAUCUAACCAGAAAGGGACGGCUAACUACGUGCCAGCAGCCGAUGUAAUACGUAGGUCCCGAGCGUUGUCCGGAUUUAUUGGGCGUAAAGCGAGCGCAGGUGGUUUAAUAAGUCUGAUGUAAAAGGCAGUGGCUCAACCAUUGUGUGCAUUGGAAACUGUUAGACUUGAGUGCAGUAGAGGAGAGUGGAAUUCCAUGUGUAGCGGUGAAAUGCGUAGAUAUAUGGAGGAACAUUGGUGGCGAAAGCGGCUCUAAGGACUGUCACUGACACUGAGGCUCGAAAGCGUGGGUAGCAAACAGGAUUAGAUACCCUGGUAGUCCACGCCGUAAACGAUGAGUGCUAGUUGUUUGGGGCUAUCCAGCCCUAAGUGACGCAGCAAACGCAUUAAGCACUCCGCCUGGGGAGUACGACCGCAGGUGAAACUCAAGGAAUGACGGGGGCCCGCACAAGCGUGGAGCAUGUGGUUUAAUCGA
Molecule: ribosomal RNA, 560 nt
Filed under: uncultured Lactococcus sp.
Lineage: Bacteria; Bacillati; Bacillota; Bacilli; Lactobacillales; Streptococcaceae
Description: bacterial SSU rRNA
Rfam family: Bacterial small subunit ribosomal RNA
Source: RNAcentral